UAUGGCCAUAUAGCAUCAAAACACCAGUUCCUAUAUGAUUACAGAAGUUAAGCAAUAUCGAGCCUAGUCAGUACCUAGAUGAGUGACCACUUGUGAAUACAAGGUGCUGUAAG
Non-coding RNA from Acanthosepion pharaonis, 113 nucleotides. The record is from the annotation of a GenBank genome assembly. NCBI's taxonomy places the organism in Eukaryota, Metazoa, Mollusca, Cephalopoda, Sepiida, Sepiidae.